Long non-coding RNA from Ruditapes philippinarum (Manila clam), 6635 nucleotides. RefSeq lists it as uncharacterized. Lineage: Eukaryota; Metazoa; Mollusca; Bivalvia; Venerida; Veneridae. The record is from RefSeq and is a predicted model, not a curated record. The transcript is spliced from 2 exons.
GAACUAAUUUUUGUAUGCUUCAAUUUGUUGUAAUUAUUUCUUUCUGUGCUAAUAUCAAGUUGAAUUGUCAACUUAAUUCUUUCUUUAACAUUGUUAAGUUGACUUGAUUUCUUAGUUUUCUGGUUCUAUUUUAGAGCAUUUAAUGAAAUAGUAGUAAUUACUAUUAAACUAAGAUUUUGAAGAAGAGUAACUUUUUCAUGUCAUUACAAAGGUCUUAGUUUUAUUACUUAUUGUUAGUGACUAACAUGGAUUUUUAAGUAUAUUGUAUAUGCAAUGUAUGAGUUCAUCAACUAAAUUUGCAUUCUGCAUUUACCCUAAAAGGCAUUAAUAUAGAGAACUAUUCAUUUACUUUUUUCUGGAAGUAAAACUUUAGGUCACAUAGUGCUAAAUUUUUAAAUGACCAGAUUGCCAUAACCUAGCAGCAAACAAAAUUUAACACAACGAACAAGGGACACAACUUUAGCUUGAUAUAUUAUUGUCACAAUUCAAGUUGUCUCCCUUGUAUUAAGCAUUUGUAACUAAUUCCUUUGCAAGCAGAGUGAUCAUACAUAACUUUGAAAACAACUGGUUAUAUAGAUAAUAGUAUAGAUGUCACAAUUGUCCAAUGAAAUCUCGACAAACAUGCAGAAUUAUAUUGAGCCAUAUAACUUGAACAUAAUGGGUCAUAUAACUUGCACAUAAUUGACUAUAUAACUUGCAUGUAAUGGGUUAUAUAACUUGCAUGUAAUGAGUUAUAUAAUUUGCACAUAAUGGGUCAUAUUACCAGCACAUAAUGACCACUAUACACUGACACAAUAUAUGUCAUAUAACUUGCACAUAAUGGUUACAUAAUGGGUCCAUAUAACUUGCACAUAAUCAUAACCAACUCUAUUUUGUAAUGAAAUCAUCAAAAGCCGUUGUUUUUAAUUGUGCAUUUUUUCCACAAUGGAUAAAUCAUAAAGUUUUUAGUGUUUGUAAAAAAAUAAUCAUUGUUUUGUUGAAAUUUUCACAAAUUGUGUAAGAAAGUCGGCCAAUUUCUAAUUUCGUGGUCAUUUAAAGUGUAUUUUCUUGCCUUAUUUAUAUCACUUAAUUGAAAGCUGUGUAGAAACAUUAUUGGUGUUAAUAUACAAUGUAUUAGCUUUAAAUGACUUAACAGAGAAUUUAUUGAUUUAAUCAGAUUCAUUAUAUCUGCAUUGAGAAUAGAUUAAUACUACAAAAUGUAGACCCUUUUUGUUUCGCAGUGUAACCUUUUUCUGUUGAUUCACUUCUGCAAAUUGCCAAAUUUAUUUUUUAAGUAUCAUACCACUGUAUUCAUUUGUUACUGCAGUGAAUACGAAAAUAAUUCUAAAAGCUAUGGUAAUGUACAUGUAUGUUGGUUUUUUAGCUAAUCUGUUUCGAAGAAAAAGUUAAGCUAUUAUGAUAUUUUCAUUUUGCAAAAUAUUUAAUGUAGCUCAUUAUUCAAAUAAUUUCAAAGUUUUCGACAUGAAACUUGGAAUUGUUCCUUAGGUGCAAUUUUUACACAAGUUGCACAAAUGUGAAAGCAAAUUUAAUGAAAUAAUGCCGCUUUUUUAACAGAUGAAUGUUAGCACUGCAUAUGGUGUUCUUGUUUUUGUCUUCUUGUGACAUAAUUAUAUAAUAAUAGGUCUAUGUAAAUAAGUAAAGUUUUCAAAAUAAUGGUAGCCUGGAGUUUUGUUAAUAUAUGAAUAACAUGUGCUAUCUGUCAGUGUGUAUAGGGUACAGGGUGUUCACUAGCCAUGAAAUCCUGAGGGUCAUUUUGACCAGUAAUGGUCACUUUUACCAUCUACAAGGCCAAAUCCCUAUGAUUUCAACAAAAUUUGAGCCUCCAGUUAAAAAUCCUGAGGUCUUAUCAGGUCUUUUGGAAAUUUGAAAGGUCAAAAAGUCAUUUUAAAGUUCAAACGGACACCCUGGGAGACAUUUUUGUUUUGCAAAUUUAAAGGCUAAUUCAAGUGUUGUCAAAUUGUUUUGUUUUUUUUAAAUUCUUUUGAAGAAUGAAGUCUUCCAUUGGUUUGUAUUGGGUGCAACUAUUUUUAUCAUAAUAUGACUGCUGGCAAUAGAAAACAGAUCUUUACAUCAUUUUGAAAAUGACAUCACCAGAUGUUUGUGAUGUCAUUAAAGGUUAAAAAUAUGAUUGGGGGGUGGGGGUAGCAUAGAGAAGAAAAUACCCUCUAGAUUUAGAAAAUAUGAAUAUAUAGUCAGAAUAGGAAGAUUGCCAUUGUUUUUUAUUUAUUUUUAUUUUUUAACAUGCUAGAGAAUUGAAUUUCUUAAAAAAGUAAAUUUUGUCAGUUUAAAAAAAAUCAAUGUUGACAUUGAUUCUUCAAAACUUCUUACUGCCAGUCCUUGUAAAAAAUUUAGUAGACUAGACUAUUUGAUUAGACAAUGUGAUUUAUGUAUGAUUAGAAUAUUGGACAGUAUGAUUUUCAUGAAAUUAUGUAGUAUAAAAUUAUCAAAUUGAAAAAUAUUUUGUAAAAAAAAUAUGCAAUUGAAAAAUAUGAUUUUCAUAUAUAGUCUUUUGAUUGGACAAAAUGAUUUGCAUAUAACUACAUGUAUCUGAUUUGAAAAAAUGAUUUACAUAUUAUAAGUAUUAGCUUGGACAACAUGAUUUGCAUAUUAUAGGUAUUAGAUUUGAAAAUACUAUAAUCAUUGGAUUGGAUAAUGUGAUUUGCAUAUUAUAGGUAUUUGAUUGGACCAUAUAAAUUGCAUAUUUUUGUUAUUGUACAUGUUGUAUUGGUCACUUUGAUUUGCAUGUUAUAGUUAUUGUAUUGGUCAACUUGAUUUGCAUACUAUAGCUAUUGGAUUGGUCAACAUGAUUUGCAUACUAUAGUUAUUGGAUUGGACAACAUGAUUUGUAUAAAUAUAGGAUUGGACAACAUGAUUUGCAUAUUUAUUGGAUUGGAUAAUAUGAUUUGCAUAUUUAUUGGAUUGGACAACAUGAUUUGCAUAUUUAUUGGAUUGGAUAAUAUGAUUUGCAUAUUAUAGAUAUUGGAUUUAUAAUAAUUAUGUACAUUGACAUAAGUAGGUAUAUACAUUAUAAUAAUAACUUCUAAUGAGCAUUUAGUUUUAUAACCUUUUGAAGAUAACAUGUUUAUUUCGUUUGUUAUGAUAUGUUAAUGGGUCAAUUUGUUAAACAGAGAUUUUAUGUAACAAUGCAUGAUUUUUUAACAUACUUAACUGUAACAUAAUUAUUCAAGCAUAACAAAUAUUAGCUCGCUGUAAAUAUGCUUAGCAAAAAUAGGAUGUCAGUCACAUUAUACCUGAGAACAAUCUGUAAAUGUGUUCAGCUUUUUUCAGGCAUUGACCUUUUGAAUUUUAAGCAGCGAUGACUUGGUUUAAAUACCUGUACAUAACCAGGCCGGCCUGACCUUCUGUACUGUCUGACCAGGCUAGGCACUGGAGGCUACAGAGUUUUUGUUAUUUUGAUAAAUCCUUGAAAUUUACAAUUAACUGUUUCGAAUUCAGAAGGGCGAUUCCGGUACACCGAAAAAAAAAAACAACAGGGUAAGGGUUGGAUGCAUAAUAUUUUCUUGUUUUAAAGGAACUCCACUAAGGUCCAAUAGCCUAAAAACAAAAAGUUAUAAUUUUUUAAAUAAAUCAGUUGAGGCCUUUAAAAAAUAGAGGAUAUUGAAUGAGUGUAAGUUCAAUACUGAAUUUAUUGCACGAGUUGAAUAAAAUUAUAUUAUGCGAGCCUCUGGCGAGCAUAAUAUUAUUUUAUUCAACGAGUGCAAUAAAUUCAGUAAUGAACUUACACGAAUUUAAUAUUCUAUUUAUCACAUACCCAAAAUAAAGAUUAAAGACCGUUUAAAGUGAAAUAGAGUCAUUGUUUUUUGACGCGCCUAUAGUAUAACGCUAACAUUUAGCACGUCUUUACACUAUGUUUGUAUAACGCUAAUGACGUCACGUCAAAAUAUAUGCACGGCCGUGCAAUACCAUAUUUACGGAGUCACAAAAUCGGCACGGGUAUGUGAUAAAGAAAGAUAUGCUAAUUAUGAUUGUGAAAUAUUCUCAGAAACAAUUAAAAAUCACAUUUUUGUGUUAUAAUCUUAAAAUGCACAACAAUUUCAAUUUUGGGUCAUUUUUCACAAUAAGAAUUAUUAUUCUGGAAAAAAAUCUCAGUGGAGUCCCUUUAAAAUAUUAUGUAACUUAAUGUGAAAGGUUGGACUUCCAUUGCCUUGUGAGUCUUAUGAUUCUGACUUUGAAGUUUUUGGCCGUCCCUACUUUGAAUUCAGAUUGCAACAGGGACAAUGGAGUUUUCCUUAUGAGAAAGCACAGACAGGCAUUUGUGGUCUUCCUAAAAUUAGCUGUAAUGCUGUCCUUUUAGAGAGACAGUGUGGGUUUGGCUUGAUAGUUGUAGAUCAUAAUGUGAAGAAUUUUUCUCUCUUUUUUCUUUAAAGAAAAGUUCAACAUAAAUUAUUUUGAAAGACAUAUCUUGACUAAGAAUGAUUCAUAAGCACAACUCGUAAAAUAUAUAGUUAUUUACAAAAAUACAGAACAGUACUUACACUUGGCCAAAGUAAUUUUUUUUCUGGAGAAUAAAUACAACAUUGAUGAUUAAAUACCAAAGCUAUAUAUAGAUCUUUCAACUAUAUAUAGAUUGUUCAGCUAUAUAUAGAUUGUUCAGCUAUAUAUAGAUUGUUAAGCUAAAUAUAGAUUGUUCAGCUAAAUAAAGAUUGUUCAGCUAUAAAUAGAUUGUUAACCUAUAUUUAGAUUGUUCAGCUAUAUAUAGAUUGUUCAGCUAUAUAUAGAUUGUUAAACUAAAUAUAGAUUUUUCAGGUAUAUAUAGAUUGUUCAGCUAUAUAAAGGCUGUUCAGAAUCAUCCUGGCUACAAGUCAAUAGUAAUAAGAACCUUUUUAUUGUAUAAGAAAAUGGUCGCUGAAUGCUUAAAUAUUAUUUUACAUCUGCCAAUAUAAAUUUGUUCAUAGUUGUUAAAAGCUUUUAUAUAGCAGGACAUUGUAGUAUUUGCUUUAAUUAUUGUAGAUGUCAAUGGAGUACACACGGGUCUUUGUUAAUGUAUAGAUAUUAAUGCCUUUCUUUCCCAGAUGCAGUGAAACUUCGAAAAUGCAUAUUUUUCUUGCACACAUGGAAGUAAAUUGUUUUCACAUUGUAUAAGGUAUUGUCUUUUUUUCUUGAGAAAAUCCAGAUAUUUGUAAACUUUAAGAAUUUGUUUAGUAAAUUCUUUGAAAUGUGCCAACAACUGAUAUUUGCAUCUAAUAAAUUGAUGAAUUUUGUAGCUUUAAAGCAGCACAGCUGAAGAUUUCUUGAGAAAAUCCAGAUAUUUUGUGAUCGCUUUUCGUCCGUCCGUCCGGCGUCCGUAAACUUUUACUAUAAAUUACAUCUCCUCAUAAACCACUAAGCCAAUUUCAUCCAAACUUCACAGGAAUGUUCCUUUGGUGGUCACCUUUGAAAAUUGUUCAAAGAAUUUAAUUCCAUGCAGAACUCUGGUUGCCAUGGCAACCAAAAGAAAAAACUUUAAAUAUCUUCUUCUAAAAAACCCAAAGUGGGAGCUUAGAUUUUUGGCAUGAAACAUCUUCUAGUGAGUGACUACCAAGUUUGUUCAAAUAAAAGCCCUGGGGUCAAAAUUGGCCCCGCCCCAGGGGGUCAUUGAUUUUCCCUAUAUGCAUAUAGUAAAAACUUAAAAAUUCUUCUUUUUUAGAACCUAAAGAGCUAGAGCUAAGAUAUUUAGCAUGAAACAUCUUCUAAUGAGUGUCUACCAAGUGUGUUCAAAUAAAAGCCCUGGGGUCAAAAUUGGCCCCGCCCCAGGGGGUCAUUGAUUUUCCCUAAAUGCAUAUAGUAAAAACUUAAAAAUCUUCUUUUAAAGAACCCAAAGAGCUAGAGCUAAGAUAUUUAGCAUGAAAUAUCUUCUAAUGGAUGUCUACCAAGUUUGUUCAAAUAAGAGGUCUGGGGUCAAAAUUGGCCCCGCCCCGGGGGUUAUUGAUUUUCCUUUUAUGUGUAUAGCAAAAACUUAAAAAAUCUUUUUUGAAAAAACCCAAAUAGCUAGAGUUUAGAUAUUAAGCAUGAAACAUUUUCUAGUAAGUGUCUACAAAGAUUGUUCAAAUAAAAGCCCUGGGGUCAAAACUGGCCCUGCCCCAGGUGAGUCAUUGUUUUUAACUAUGUGUGUAAAGAAAAAACUUGAAAAAAUCUUCUUUUAAAAAACCCAACGAGCUAGACCUUAGAUGUUUAGCAUGAAACAUCUUCUAUGGGUGUCUACCAAGUUUAUUCAAAUAAAAGCCUGGGGGUUUAAACCUGCCCCGCCCCGAGGGCCUACAUGUAUAUACAGGUGAGCGACUUCAGGGCCAUCAUGGCCCUCUUGUUUAUCUUUUAAUGUUUAUAUACAUGUAUAUAUGGGAGUAAACCUCUUUUUAGAAUUAUUAUUUGAUUACUUCUUCCUUACAAAAACUGCAACUCUUUUUAUUAUUUCAUUUAAGAAUAAAAACUUAACCAUCAUUUUACCAGCCUCUAAAAUUGUUCCUUUUGUUUUUGAUUUUUGAUCCUGCACUAACGUUUAAGGUGUUUUUCACUGUAUCAGUUUUAAUAUAAUUCAGAUAUAAAUUUUAAAAAAGCAAGCUAUCAUUUCUACUCAAAUAAGCCUCUUUUCACUGUGUUAAUAUACCUUUACUUUUGUCAAUAAAAUGACAAUCCUU